This 710-nucleotide ribosomal RNA is filed under the name Pseudomonas protegens. RNAcentral's name for it is "bacterial SSU rRNA". It matches the Rfam family "Bacterial small subunit ribosomal RNA", at positions 31 to 734 of the family's 1533-position model. Lineage: Bacteria; Pseudomonadati; Pseudomonadota; Gammaproteobacteria; Pseudomonadales; Pseudomonadaceae. The record is from RNAcentral.
GAACGCUGGCGGCAGGCCUAACACAUGCAAGUCGAGCGGCAGCACGGGUACUUGUACCUGGUGGCGAGCGGCGGACGGGUGAGUAAUGCCUAGGAAUCUGCCUAGUAGUGGGGGAUAACGUCCGGAAACGGGCGCUAAUACCGCAUACGUCCUACGGGAGAAAGUGGGGGAUCUUCGGACCUCACGCUAUNAGAUGAGCCUAGGUCGGAUUAGCUAGUUGGUGAGGUAAUGGCUCACCAAGGCGACGAUCCGUAACUGGUCUGAGAGGAUGAUCAGUCACACUGGAACUGAGACACGGUCCAGACUCCUACGGGAGGCAGCAGUGGGGAAUAUUGGACAAUGGGCGAAAGCCUGAUCCAGCCAUGCCGCGUGUGUGAAGAAGGUCUUCGGAUUGUAAAGCACUUUAAGUUGGGAGGAAGGGCAGUUACCUAAUACGUGAUUGUUUUGACGUUACCGACAGAAUAAGCACCGGCUAACUCUGUGCCAGCAGCCGCGGUAAUACAGAGGGUGCAAGCGUUAAUCGGAAUUACUGGGCGUAAAGCGCGCGUAGGUGGUUUGUUAAGUUGGAUGUGAAAGCCCCGGGCUCAACCUGGGAACUGCAUCCAAAACUGGCAAGCUAGAGUAUGGUAGAGGGUGGUGGAAUUUCCUGUGUAGCGGUGAAAUGCGUAGAUAUAGGAAGGAACACCAGUGGCGAAGGCGACCACCUGGAC